Sarcophilus harrisii (Tasmanian devil) is the source of this 2143-nucleotide long non-coding RNA. RefSeq lists it as uncharacterized. The record is from RefSeq and is a predicted model, not a curated record. Lineage: Eukaryota; Metazoa; Chordata; Mammalia; Dasyuromorphia; Dasyuridae. The transcript has 3 exons.
UGUUUUCAUUUGAUUCAUUUUCAGGAGUCUGAGAUGUGCCAACAGUACAGGGUCAUUCCUAGAGUGGGCUACCUGUGUCCAAAGAACUUACAAUAUGUGUGUGGUGAAGAUGGCAGGACAUACAACCAUCCCUGUUUGCUGUGUCAUGAAAAUCUGUUACAUCAAACCAACAUCCAAAUGCUGAGGGAAGGGAGGUGUGAAGAUGAACCUUCAGGAACACUUCCACCAAAUACUUCAGGCAGUAACAAAUGAGUGAUGAAUCAAUCGGAACCUUGAGAAAAAAGGUUCAAUGCUCAGCCCUGGAAAGUUUGCCUUCACCCUUCUGUAUAUAAAGAACUCUUCUGAGCAUGUAUUAUUUACAGUGCAGAACAAUCCUGAGCUACGGGGAAAGGACAUACUGAUUUUUAGUCUUCCAUCCUUCUCUUCCAGGACUCUAUGAUCCUGGUGCGGAGACACAUGCUGCAUUCAGUCAGUGCUCUAGGGCCCCUGGUCACGGUGCUGUCUGUCCAUUUGCUUGUGCAAUAAAAGUAAAAUUAGCAAAAUGGCCAUCCUACUUUUUGUUUCUGAUGAGAUGUGAGAACUAAAAAUUAUUAUUCCCGCAAAGGCUAAAUAACUGCUUCUCUGACCUUUUGCUAAGUGAGAAACUUGCUGGGUAGACUAUACAAGGUCAUUCUCAUCUCUAUCACAUACAGACCUAGAAAGACACUCACCUCUAUCCUAAAUAGUCAUUGAUAUCCAUUUUUACCUCUAUCCUUCACAAAAAGGGCUAUAUUCUUUCAUAUUGUUUUCACAAAGGCAAGGGCUGUUCCUCUUUCACUUCUAUUCCACCCAGAAAGGGCCGACCUCCUUCAUGUCUAUUCAAAAAUAGGCAGGGCUAGACACUUUCAUCUCUAUUUCAUAAAAAGGACCAUUGUACAUCUUUCUUCUAUCCAACAAAAAAUGAGCCCACUCCAGAAAAUCUCAUGAAAUCCCAUAUACACAGGAGACAAAAUGAUGUUCACCAACUUCAAUCCUACUUAGGUACAGCCAGACUCAUUCUUUCCUUUUUCAAUAUCUAAUAAUACUGCUAAUAUGGCCUCUAACUGUAUUAUAUUUUAUACUUCCUGAUUCACAUUUUGAAGAAUUAAUGAAAUGUUUUUCUUUAUGUUUUUUCCUCCCUUAUGCAAGCUAUGUUGGGUGGUGGCAAGAAUAAAAAGAGCUAUUCUGGAAAUAUGUGUAUAUCCCUAAUAAAAAGACAGAGAAGGAAAGGUUAGACAGGUAGGAGGGGAAUGAAGAAAGAAUGAUGUCUCUGAAGCUAAAGAGGAAAAGAUAACUCAGUAGUACUGAGUGGUCAUGUUUCAGAAGGUAGAUAAAGGUCAAGGAGAAUAAAAAUGAAAAAAAAGUCAUGUCAGCUAAGACAUUGGAAAUGAAUAGGGCAAUGGGGGUGGGAGAGUUGAUUAAUGAGUUGUCUUAGAGAAGUUGGGAGGAAAUGGGAUGGAACAAAAGAAUAAUUUUGUGUUUUUGCAGCAUAUUCUGGAUUAUCUGCCCUUUUGAGUUCUUAGAACUGAAGGUACUUCAAAAUUUCAAAAAAUGUGACAAAAUUUAGAACCAAAAUUAUGAGAAAAAGAAUAAGCUAAAGUGUGAGUGUGUGUGUGUGUGUGUGUGUGUGUGUGUGUGAAGAAGCUAACUGUGGUCACUAAAAAUGUACAGCUUCUCAAAUUCAAUCCAUUCUGAAUCUAUUUAAUUCUAAACCCAAUUCAUUGUCCAUAAACAACAAUCUCUCCAAAACUGUAUCUCCAUUAGGUUCAGAAUUUUCUUCUAUUGCUCAUUGGACUGAUAUCUUUUGAAUGACUAUACCUUUUAUUAAAAAUUCUCUGCAUUAUCCUGGGUCUUUAUGUGAUCAAGCCAAAGAAACCAUAAGCAGGGGCAUAUGGAUAUGCUCCAUAUAUAAAAUUCUUCCUUUUAGGCUCUGUAGGACGCUUUCUUUGUUGAAUAUCUUUGAAGAACAUAGAUCUUCCAGGUUGAUGCUUUUCAGGGGAUCACUGAAAAAAGUUUUCUGUACUUACAUUUAAUGAUCUCAAUUCAUUCUGGGGAGACAUCUAGUUGGACAGAAAUCUAUAAAGGCACAUUUUGUUUUGAAUUUAUUAAAAAUCAGAUGAAACCA